Long non-coding RNA from Oncorhynchus tshawytscha (Chinook salmon), 1967 nucleotides. The record is from Ensembl. NCBI's taxonomy places the organism in Eukaryota, Metazoa, Chordata, Actinopteri, Salmoniformes, Salmonidae.
GCCCUUGGCGGUGCUGGGUUCCCAGCCAGAGCUAGCCCUUAGCGGUGCUGGGUUCCCAGCCAGAGCUAGCCCUUAGCGGUGCUGGGUUCCCAGCCAGAGCUAGCCCUUAGCGGUACUGGGUUCCCAGCCAGAACUAGCCCUUAGCGGUACUGGCACCCCUUCAAAUUAGUGGAUUCGGCUUUUUCAGCCACAUGUUGCUGACAGGUGUAUAAAAUCAAGCACACAGCCACGCAAUCUCCAUAGACAAACAUUGGCAAUAGAAUGGUCUUACUGAAGAGGCUCCCUAGCGGAUGCAGUAGUCUAAGGCACUGCAUCUCAGUGCUAGAGGUGUCACUACAGACCCUGGUUUGAUUCCAGGCUGUAUCAUAACCGUCCGUGAUUGAGAGUCCCAUAGGGUGGAGCACAAUUUGCCCAGCGUUGUCUGGGUUAGGGUUUGGCAGGGUAGGCCGCCAUUGUAAAUAAGAAUUUGUUCUUAUUAACUGACUUACCGAGUUAAAUAAAAUAAAUAAAAAAGAGCUUAGCGACUUUCAACCUUGGUACUGUCAUAGGAACCACCUUUCCAACACGUCUGCUUCCCCGGUCAGCUGUUAUUGUGAAGUGGAAACGUCUAAGAGCAACAGCGGCUCAGCCGCGAAGUGGUAGGCCACACAAGUUCACAGAACGGGACCCACAAAGCGCCUAGCGUGUAAAAAUUUGUGACAACAGUUUGGGGAAGGACCUUUCCUGUUUCAGCAUGACAAUGACCCUCGUGCACAAAGCGAGGUCCAUACAGAAAUGGUUUGUCGGUGUGGAAGAACUUGACUGGCCUGCACAGAGCCCUGGCCUCAACCCCAUCGAACACCUUUGGGAUAAAUUGGAACGCUGACUGCGAGCCAGGCCUAAUCACCCAACAUCAGUGCCCGACAUCACUAAUGCUCUUGUGGAUGAAUGGAAGCAAGUCCCCAAAGCAAUGUUCCAACAUCUAGUGGAAAGCCUUCCCAGAAGAGUGGAGGCUGUUAUAGCAGCAAAGGGGGGACCAACUCCAUAUUAAUGCCUAUGAUUUUGGAAUGAGAUGUUCGACGAGCAGGUGUCCACGUAAUUUUGGUCAUGUAGUCAUGUAAUGUCAGACCCUCCCUUUCUGAAUAGUUACCUGCCUACAUAUUGUAAAUCACAUUGUGUGUACAACAAGCCAAAAGCUUUCGGCAGUGGAAGUAUAGUCUUUACUCAGUGCUUUGACCAAGGUAUGGUCAAUUCAUAUUUCCAACUAGCCAUUUCUUACUACCAGGGACGGCAGGUAACCUAGUGGUUAGAGGCAGGGUAGCCUAGUGGUUAGAGCGUUGGGCCAGUAACCGAAAGGUUGCUAGAUCGAAUCGCUGAGCUAAACAGGGUAAAAAUCUGUCGUUCUGCCCCCUGAACAAGGAAGUUAACCCACCAUUUUUAGGCUGUCAUUGUAAAUAAGAAUUUGUUCAUAACUGACUUGCCUAGUUAAAUAAAAUAGAAAAAUGGUCAAUCAACAAACCAAGUAGAAUGGGUGUCUCUAGGCCUAAUGGUGCUGUCUCCUCAGGUAUCCUAGCAACUGAAUUAAACUGUGUUUUUUGUUAAUUCCAUUUUUGUGUUUAUGUUUGCUCCUGCGUGUGUUGAAAUAAUCCUGUUGGACAAUGGAACACCUCACCCCUCGCAAUUUACACCAAUGUUUCAAACUUGUUUCAAAGUCUAAAGAUACUGAUGUUGUCAUUUUGUUCUAUGUAAAUAAAGAUUAUGUUUUGAAUAAAUAUCGUCAUAUACAUAAUGAUUUCUGUAUAGGUUAAAGGGGCACUCUGAAUGUGCUUCAUCCACUAAUGAAAUGUACCCAUUUUGAUUCUUGAAAAAUAUAACUUUAUACAUUUCUCAGGUCAUCUAUCAUACCCCACCGGAACCUAAAAUAUACGCUUGUUUGACUCCAAUGUUUACAAGGAAAGUCAAUGUAAACAAACACUACGUAGCCUUAC